CUGAAGAAGCAAGUUAAUUCAGAACAAUAAACUUAUGCAAUGUGAUUUAUAAAAUCAUCUCAAAAGUUAUCACCAACAGACUCAAGCCAAUUUUAAAAAGCAUCGUUACCCCCUUCCAGAAUGCUUUUGUCCCGGGGCGGCUCUUGGCUGAUAAUUUCUGUAACAGUCCGUAUUUUAAAGAAGAUUUAUUAAGAGCUAAAUAUUUAACUUAGCUUAAUUUCUGUCACUCUUCCUCGUGUCAACUGUUGUCAACAGACAACACAUUCUAAUCUUCCUUCAUUGUGUCAAAAGGAGAAGAGCUUUCAAAUUGAGUUGUCAAAAUUUCAUGGAAUCUCCACCAUUGAGAUGUAAUCUCCAUAAUUUUGUCUAAUUUUGGGCAAAUCUAAAAACCCCAAUUCUUCAUUCUCGCAUCUUCUCUGUUUUCGUCAGUCUGUUCUGCAAUUUUCUCCAACAUGCAAUCCAAAUUUGCUCCUUCUUUCUUCAUCAAAGUUGUAGAUCUCUUCGAGCUAAUGAAUUUAGGCUCAAAAAUUUCUUCAAUCGGAGUUCGGAGCUAGGAGUUAUGAUCUCUGGAAGUUGUAGUUGUUGCUUCCACUGUUGCAGCGUUUUUCUCUCUCCUCUGUUUCGGUAUGGUGCUGCCGCCACUGUUCCGUGGUCUGUUGCUGUGCUGUAUGGUCUUGUCAAGGGUUGUGCCGCCGUGAUUUAUGGUGGUGCGGUACUGUUUCCGUGAUUGUCACAAACUAAUUGGUUUUUUCUUCUUGAAUCGUUACCUUAGUGUGGUGUAUGUUUGGAUUUCUCGAAGAAUCAAGAGAAAGAGUUUUCAGUUAAGAGAUGGAAAUUAAAUUAGAGAUUUGAAGUUAUAUUUAGAAUAUAAUUGUUGAAUGUUAAGUUCUCAUUUGAUAUUAAGUAUUGUAUUGUUUUGGGAUUUCGAGUAAAGUAAUAUAUAAUCAGGUAUUGGCUUUGAA
Molecule: long non-coding RNA, 962 nt
Organism: Beta vulgaris subsp. vulgaris (sugar beet)
Lineage: Eukaryota; Viridiplantae; Streptophyta; Magnoliopsida; Caryophyllales; Amaranthaceae
Exons: 2
Source: RefSeq, a predicted model, not a curated record